Molecule: long non-coding RNA, 681 nt
Organism: Culex pipiens pallens (northern house mosquito)
Lineage: Eukaryota; Metazoa; Arthropoda; Insecta; Diptera; Culicidae
Exons: 2
Source: RefSeq, a predicted model, not a curated record
AUGGUUUUUGUGUUUACAUACCACUUCCAAAAGCGCUGCUUUCACCUGUUUUUUUCUUGGACCGUGUGUUGAUGCGAGUUUGAACUUCCGUGUUUCAAUUAUCACCAGCCGUUGGCGAGGCGGUGCACGUCCCGGCAGAAAAGGCAGUAUCCGGAGGUGCUUCGGCAGGACAUAUAUCUGUGCUUCUUACCUGUGGAGCUAGGUGAAGCUGCUUGUUGAUAUGUUGUCCUCAUCGCCGGGCAGGGUGUGUUUCGGUUGCGGAUUCCAAGUUCAGCUCGGCAGGAAAUUCUGCGAGCAGUUUGUGUGCUCGACGUCGAGCCGUAGAUGCGGAUGAUAGAUGCAGAGCGGCCAGGCAAUCUGUGAGCAGUUUGAGGACUUUUGAACGGCGGGCAGUAUCUGGUGCUUCGGCAGGACAUAUACCUGGACUUGAGCUUCUUACCUAUACGAACAGGUGAAGCGGCGUGAUGGUAUUCUUUCUUCAACGACGACGAGCCAGACGUGCGGCAGUAAGCGACUCCAGGAGCGCCUUGUUCGGAAAAUCUGUGAGCAGUUUGGGAGCUUUGAAUGGGAUGGCAGUAUCUGUGGACGCUUCGGCAGGACAUAUACCGGAGCUUUUUACCUUUAAGAACUAUGUGUUGCGCGAAAUAAAUGUUUGUUGAAGAAUGGCGAGAUUGCGAUGAC